RNAcentral lists this ribosomal RNA (519 nucleotides) under uncultured eukaryote. RNAcentral's name for it is "SSU rRNA". It matches the Rfam family "Eukaryotic small subunit ribosomal RNA", at positions 1161 to 1693 of the family's 1831-position model. The record is from RNAcentral.
AGGGCACCACCAGGAGUGGAGCCUGCGGCUUAAUUUGACUCAACACGGGAAACCUCACCCGGCCCGGACACGGACAGGAUUGACAGAUCGAUAGCUCUUUCUCGAUUCCGUGGGUGGUGGUGCAUGGCCGUUCUUAGUUGGUGGAGCGAUUUGUCUGGUUAAUUCCGAUAACGAACGAGACUCUGGCAUGCUAACUAGUUACGCGACCCCCCGAGCGGUCGGCGUCCCCCAACUUCUUAGAGGGACAAGUGGCGUUCAGCCACCCGAGAUUGAGCAAUAACAGGUCUGUGAUGCCCUUAGAUGUCCGGGGCUGCACGCGCGCUACACUGACUGGCUCAGCGUGUGCCUACCCUACGCCGGCAGGCGCGGGUAACCCGUUGAACCCCAUUCGUGAUGGGGAUCGGGGAUUGCAAUUAUUCCCCAUGAACGAGAGAAUUCCCAGUAAGUGCGGGUCAUAAGCUUGCGUUGAUUAAGUCCCUGCCCUUUGUAUACACACGCCCGUCGCCACUACCGAUAUGG